RNAcentral lists this ribosomal RNA (31 nucleotides) under Pseudo-nitzschia sp. Hobart5. RNAcentral describes it as "partial 28S ribosomal RNA". The record is from RNAcentral. Lineage: Eukaryota; Bacillariophyta; Bacillariophyceae; Bacillariales; Bacillariaceae.
UCGGAUAUCAGAUAAAGUAAGAUGACCCGCC